Molecule: ribosomal RNA, 429 nt
Filed under: Verrucomicrobiota bacterium
Lineage: Bacteria; Pseudomonadati; Verrucomicrobiota
Description: Verrucomicrobia bacterium partial 16S ribosomal RNA
Rfam family: Bacterial small subunit ribosomal RNA
Source: RNAcentral
UAGGGAAUCUUCCGCAAUGGACGAAAGUCUGACGGAGCAACGCCGCGUGAGUGAAGAAGGAUUUCGGUUCGUAAAACUCUGUUGUUAGGGAAGAAAAAAUGUAUAGUAACUAUAUACAAAAGAGACGGUACCUAACCAGAAAGCCACGGCUAACUACGUGCCAGCAGCCGCGGUAAUACGUAGGUGGCAAGCGUUGUCCGGAAUUAUUUGGCGUAAAGCGCGCGCAGGUGGUUUAGAAAGUCUGAUGUGAAAGCCCACGGCUCAACCGUGGAGGGUCAUUGGAAACUAAUAAACUGGAGUGCAGGAGAGAAAAGUGGAAUUCCUAGUGUAGCGGUGAAAUGCGUAGAGAUAAGGAGAAACACCGGUAGCGAAGGCGGCUUUUUGGCCUGCAACUGACACUGAGGCGCGAAAGCGUGGGGAGCAAACAGG